UACUUGCAGGAUUGAAGAGGUGGGUAAUCUUAAUUAAGGGGUUUCCCCAGGGGAGUGCCCCAUGAAUCAGAGCUUGUCUUCUAAGUCCCAACUUCUCAGCGUCGUCUCUUUCUGAACUGUUCACAGGCAGGACAAGAAAACUUCACAGAGUUCUUGUAGGUACAAUUUUCCAAACGAUAAGGAAUAUUGGGAAAGAGAAAAGAUCUUCUUGCUAAGCAGGGUUGGCACUGAAGUUUUGUUGCCAUGGCAACCAAUGGUCUCCUGGGGCCGGGAGCGCGAUGGCGCGUGUGUGCAUUCACCUCUUUCCUUCCUGGUUCGCUCAGGGAUUUUGCCCCACUUCAAGCUGAAAGAAAGAGAAUAGAGCUCCGGAUUUAGGGUGAUGGGCGGAGGCCUUAACGAAUGGAAGCGUGGUCCUGUCCAAGGCCAACCAAUAAUAUACGAAGUUUGUCUCUGACAGAGCCCUCCCUCUUUUCACUUGGACCUGAAUAACCUGACCCAAACAGAGUUUCUGUUGGAGCGACGGCUCUUUAAGCCAAUGAAAGCACUGAUUUGGGACAGUGCAGAAGAAGAGGCGGGACAGAUUUUUAUGGCAACGCCUGAAUGACAGCGACCCGAGCCAUUGGCUGUAGUUCGCUGGAUUUAUUGACAGAGUGGGCGUGGAGGGGUUUUGUCAGGGCAUCGACUGGGGCCAGAAGAGGCGGGAAAAAGAGAGCAAUGAGAGUCAGCCAAUAAGAACAGCGCGAGUUUCAUAGCAACGGAAGAGUGACGGCGGGUUGGGCCAAAGGAAGGUUAAGCUGUUUGUUACGCCGGCCGAGGGGAGGCGCGGCGGCUGUGUCGGACGAGAGCCGGAGGAGGCGGUGGGUGGAGGUGGCGGCUGCAACGCGGGUUCCUGAGGAGAAGGAGGAGGAGAAGCGGAUCUUUCUCCCAGAGUGGCGGAGUGUGUCUUGCCACACUCUGCCUUCUUGCUCUCUCCCAAAGCGCAGAAUUGUCAGACACACCACAGUGAGGGUACUGGGUAACCUGGCCCUCCAUUUUAUUUGAUUUGGUUUUCUGAAUCUAUUUUUUCCCCUCUUUGCCUCCGACCCUUUGUUUUGACUUGUUCCUCCUCUCCUUUCUGUUCCUCCCUUCUUCCUGUUUUUUUGUCCUCUGGCGGGCUUCCCUUUUGCUGGAGUCCUCGGAGAGGCAUUAGGGACUGGAUCCUUCUUCCCCUAAUGGCUGCCUGGGCUCCACCCACAACCUUUUGACCACUCCCCAGAGGAGGGUGACCUUGGAGGGAGGUGCUAAGGACGGGAGAAUCAGCCUAGCAGGGGGUCAGCA
Molecule: long non-coding RNA, 1317 nt
Filed under: Mus spicilegus (steppe mouse)
Lineage: Eukaryota; Metazoa; Chordata; Mammalia; Rodentia; Muridae
Description: lncRNA (ENSMSIG00000002289.1)
Source: RNAcentral